Molecule: ribosomal RNA, 500 nt
Filed under: uncultured archaeon
Lineage: Archaea
Description: bacterial SSU rRNA
Rfam family: Archaeal small subunit ribosomal RNA
Source: RNAcentral
CCCUACGGGGSGCAYCAGGCGCGAAAACUUUACAAUGCGGGAAACCGUGAUAAGGGAACUCCGAGUGUCCGUAAAUGCGGACUGUCCGUAUGUUUAAAAAGCAUGCGAAGAAAGGGCCGGGCAAGACCGGUACCAGCCGCCGCGGUAAUACCGGCGGCUCGAGUGGUGGCCACUAUUAUUGGGCUUAAAGCGUUCGUAGCUGGGUUGUUAAGUUUCUUGGGAAAUCUACCGGCUUAACCGAUAGGCGUCCAAGGGAUACUGGCAAUCUAGGGACCGGGAGAGGUGAGGGGUACUUCAGGGGUAGGAGUGAAAUCCUGUAAUCCUUGGGGGACCACCUGUGGCGAAGGCGCCUCACCAGAACGGCUCCGACAGUGAGGGACGAAAGCUGGGGGAGCAAACCGGAUUAGAUACCCGGGUAGUCCCAGCCGUAAACGAUGCGCGUUAGGUGUAUCGAUGACCACGAGUCAUCGAGGUGCCGAAGGGAAACCGUGAAACGCGCC